This 253-nucleotide ribosomal RNA is filed under the name uncultured bacterium. Its description in RNAcentral is "partial 16S ribosomal RNA". It matches the Rfam family "Bacterial small subunit ribosomal RNA", at positions 524 to 776 of the family's 1533-position model. The record is from RNAcentral.
UACGUAGGGCGCAAGCGUUGUCCGGAAUUAUUGGGCGUAAAGAGCUCGUAGGCGGUUUGUCGCGUCUGCUGUGAAAACUCGAGGCUCAACCUCGGGAUUGCAGUGGGUACGGGCAGGCUAGAGUGAUGUAGGGGAGAGUGGAAUUCCUGGUGUAGCGGUGAAAUGCGCAGAUAUCAGGAGGAACACCGAUGGCGAAGGCAGGUCUCUGGGCAUUAACUGACGCUGAGGAGCGAAAGCAUGGGGAGCGAACAGG